AACGAACGCUGGCGGCAUGCCUAACACAUGCAAGUCGAACGAGACCUUCGGGUCUAGUGGCGCACGGGUGCGUAACGCGUGGGAACCUGCCCUUAGGUUCGGAAUAACUCCCCGAAAGGGGUGCUAAUACCGGAUAAUGUCUUCGGACCAAAGAUUUAUCGCCUUUGGAUGGGCCCGCGUUGGAUUAGCUAGUUGGUAGGGUAAAAGCCUACCAAGGCGACGAUCCAUAGCUGGUCUGAGAGGAUGAUCAGCCACACUGGGACUGAGACACGGCCCAGACUCCUACGGGAGGCAGCAGUGGGGAAUAUUGGACAAUGGGCGAAAGCCUGAUCCAGCAAUGCCGCGUGAGUGAUGAAGGCCUUAGGGUUGUAAAGCCCUUUUACCCGGGAUGAUAAUGGCAGUACCGGGAGAAUAAGCUCCGGCUAACUCCGCG
Molecule: ribosomal RNA, 433 nt
Filed under: uncultured bacterium
Lineage: Bacteria
Description: partial 16S ribosomal RNA
Rfam family: Bacterial small subunit ribosomal RNA
Source: RNAcentral